CGCCUUCCCGGCCGGCCGUCCCUUUCCGCCCGCCUGUGGUUGGGCCCGGCCCGGAGGGAGGCUCUGCAGGGAGAGAGCUGCUUCAGGGAGGUCCCAGCGUUUGAAAACGAAUUGAAAUGUGCGCUUCCUCUUAGUGAAGGAGUACGACGUGGUCUUGCAUUUGCAGCGGGUUUCACGAGCAGAGGAGAAAAGGCAGGGUGCUGUGCAUUGCAGAGGAAUUUCAACUCUGAGAAGCUGCAGGACAUUGUGAGGAGAACUGGCCAGAGGGCAGUCGCUCAGCCUCACGACGACAGAUUACAGAGAAUUGUGCUUCAGAGGAGGUGGGAAUUAUGAGCGUACUUCUCAAACAGUUCUGAAGGAAGCUGUGCAAACACAUCUGAAGAAACAUUCCUGGAAGAAUUUUAAUCUGUUUGUUUUAAAAAGCACACCACUUAUUUCUAUUAAAUUUUGAAAUUCCCUGAACUAGGCAGCUUUUAUUGCGUACCAUCAUCCUAAAUAAAUAUUUUGGCAUAGUGCAUUUCCAAAACAUGCAUAAAACCUUAUGACACUCUCAAAGAUUCAGAUAAGCAUUAAAAGUAAAAUUAGGCAUGUCGUCUUCAGAAUUGUUCUCUCACUGUUGAGAAAUUAAUUACAUGAAUGUGAGUGAUUUAAUUCAACAGAUUUUUUAGUCCAACAAAUUUUUUUAGAAAAUCAUGUCUGUGGUAAGAAAAACCAUCUGAUAAUUUGAAAUAAGAAGGCUUAUUUUAUUUGGAAACAUCAUUUGAAAAUACUUUCCUCCUGUUUCCAAGAGCAGAUCAAACACCUUUCUUUAAUCUUAGCUGGUAAGAUGGUAAAAUUUCAGCUUGUCAAAAUUUCAGUUUAUCAUGAUAAGCAUUUUCCAUUUUCUGUGAAGUUGGUAUCAGAAUGAUUAACAAAAAAAAUUAAGGUGGCAGUUGGAGUACUUUCCUAUAGAGGUAAGUGGGAGACAGGUGCUGAAUAUAAAUUUCUCUUUAAUAAAGUGUUACCAUGACUAUAAUAAUUAAGAAUUCUUUGAUGUCUCAUCUAGCAGCUGUAAUUAAUAGAAACGAUAAAAUACCAUGCAGCGAAAUUGCAGUGUGUUAUGGUUCCAAGUUUCCCACUGGGGCUUUAACUGAGCAGCAAAGUCCCUUUCCAAGGCACGGAAUUCAAGGAGAUGAGAAGCAGAGGGGCUGUGGGCAGACUCAGGUGGGACCUGUGAGAGCACUACUGUCACAUGCUUCUUUGAUGCUUUGUGUGGAAGAUGCACUACAAUAAUUCUGGGAAGCCAAAGAACAGAGCCUUUGAACUCUACUCUAUGCUCAGGCUGCCUUUAUUUUGGCGUGGGCCAACAUUUUGUUCAGAGAGCAGCUUUUACAAUGAAACAAAUUUUAAAAGGCACUUCAGAGUUACCAAACAGUAACAUCUACCCAUCCCACUCGACUCCUCUCACCUCUCCAAGUGACGAUCCAACCACUGCAACAUCUAAGGGUGUCCACGGGCAGGAAGCUGGAUGCUGGAAUAGCAAGGUGCUGCCUCGUGCAUUCACUCCAACAGAACGCUGAGGAACGGGGCAUCUCCUGCCACAAUGAGGGCAGUGGCCAUCAGCUGAUGCUAGAACCUAACCCGCUCCGUAUCUGAGCUUCUCAGCUCCCGUCUCUCCCCUCCUCUCACUGCCAAAAUAAAGUUCCUGACAAGAGCAUCUUCCUACCUGCUGUUUUCUUCCUUAACCUUAUCUUUAGCUCCUUCAAUUCCUUCCUGUGUCAGACAGCAUCAGACCUAAACGCCUGUAUUUGCACACGGAACAUAUGCAUACAGCUCAAUACGUUUUCUUUAAGAGGGCCUUUUCCUGCUCUCUGUACUGCGGCGCGUUAUACGAGUCCAGUCUCUGUCGAACCGGCUGAUUUUUGCCUCUGACUGAACCCGAACCAGGGCCGCUGUGGCAGAGAUAUGAACAGAGAUGUGUCUGAGGCUUUCAGCUCCCGAAGCUGCCG
This is a long non-coding RNA of Meleagris gallopavo (turkey), 1988 nucleotides long. RefSeq lists it as uncharacterized. The record is from RefSeq and is a predicted model, not a curated record. NCBI's taxonomy places the organism in Eukaryota, Metazoa, Chordata, Aves, Galliformes, Phasianidae.